CCCUUAGAUGUUCUGGGCCGCACGCGCGCUACACUGAUGCAUUCAACGAGUCUAAAACCUGCUCUGAUAGGGGUGGGUAAUCUUUUGAAUGUGCAUCGUGAUUGGGAUAGAUGAUUGCAAUUUUUCAUCUUCAACGAGGAAUGCCUAGUAAACGAAAGUCAUCAGCUUGCAUUGAUUACGUCCCUGCCCUUUGUACACACCGCCCGUCGCUCCUACCGAUUGAAUGAUCCGAUGAAUAUCAUGGAUUGAGGAUGCAAGUAGGUUCGCCUAUCUUCAUCUUCGAGAAGUGAAGUAAAUCUUAUCAUUUAGAGGAAGGAGAAGUCGUAACA
Molecule: ribosomal RNA, 329 nt
Filed under: uncultured eukaryote
Lineage: Eukaryota
Description: partial 18S ribosomal RNA
Rfam family: Eukaryotic small subunit ribosomal RNA
Source: RNAcentral